Molecule: non-coding RNA, 3437 nt
Organism: Peromyscus maniculatus bairdii (prairie deer mouse)
Lineage: Eukaryota; Metazoa; Chordata; Mammalia; Rodentia; Cricetidae
Source: RefSeq, a predicted model, not a curated record
GGCAGAGGUCCUCGGCACCCUGGCCCGGCGGGAACAAACUGCCGCGGUGGCGGGAGCUAGACUCCCGUGGCUGGAGGCGGGUCAUCCUUCUCUUCGCAGCUCCCGCAAACCCCUGGUCCCCUGGAGCCACAGCCUUCCGUGCUCUCAGCCGCUGGGAGUCAAAGGCAUAAGCUGGCGCAGCUGCAGCUGGUGGCGGUGGCUACAGACCUCCUCCCCUCAUCUCCCCAAGGCGGCGCCCAGGCCACCCGGGCAGAAGCGCCGCCGACGGAUCGCGAGUGAGCCGAGACACCCAGACAGACGCUGCGGAUAAGGACCUUCUAGAGUCCCAGGGGUUUCCAGCAGGCUGGAGGAGAGAGUGGUCCGGAGGAGCAAACUUGGCGCCGGCAGAUCCGACUCAGAGAGCUCUGAGGCUAUGGGGAAGAAAUUUGCAACCUAGGUGGGCUGAAUGCAAGAAAAUACACGUAAAGGUCCUACAGAGAAGCCAUUCUCUGUGGAUCCGGGACAAGAGAGCUCUCCCGAGAUUGUAUGGAUAUAAUUAAGUCAGUGACGAAACUGCUAAAGAACAUAGCCUGCAGCCUUUGGGUUUGGAGCUCCAAGAGUGCCUUGGCCUGCCCCAGCCACUACUAGACUGUGGAAAGAGGCUGGAGCUGAACAGGGUGUACCAUGUCCACGCACUUCCACAAACUUAUUUACCAACCGGCUAACCUUGGGGAACGCUGCAGAGCCAAUGCUAGCCCCCUCCCCCUCUCCAAGAGGCCACAACCCCGUUUUGAGAUCCAGAUCGAGAGAAUUGUUCACCUACAGCUCCGGGCUCUAAACCUGCUUUGGAAUCUAAAUUUCCCUUGGCCAAAUUUGGAAGCAGAGACUCCAGAUCCUGUGACUGCAGAGAUGGACUUGAAGGGGCCAGGGAUCCUAGACACAGAGGUGACAGCUGGCUGGGCUCCAGUGUGUGCACCAAGAUUUCAACAGCAACCCAACCCUAGGUGCCUCCGCUCUAGCCCACAGCUCAGGGUAACAAAGUCACCAUAUUCCUCUGGUUCCAUUACGUCUCCUCUGAGCCACCCAUUCUCAGGCAAAGUAGUGGGAGGCUUGCUUAAGCACCUAUGACCUACGGCCGGCUGCGGUGGUUGAGACCAGAGCAAACUAUGGCUCCUGUUCGUGGGAAGAGGGUUGCAAGCUCGAGAGGGUAAAAAUAGCGGCACCGCUGAGCAGAGGCGCCUGCUCAACUUACGGACUGGAUUAGAUAGAGAGAGCUGGAAUGCGGUAGGGCCAGUAAGUGGGGACACUUCCAGGUGUACCGGAGUGGGUGCCCCAGGUCUAUACCUUCCCUGGUGGAUUCUAUGGGCCCUAGGUCCGAGGGUGUGUUUAUCUGUCCGGGUAUGUGUCUUUUCCCUCGGCUAACUUGCUCAAGUGUGGCCAAAAAUGCCCCGGAACAGCAGGCGCCGGUCCCCUUAGAGACUUCCACCGCCGACCUCACACGGUGUUCAGAGGGCCAGAGUGACCUGAGACUUCCCUGGAAGACUGGCUAUUCAAGCUUACAGCGUUUCUCUACAAUCUGCUCGAGCAGAGACCAGCUCUGGGACUAGCUGCUUGACCUCGGAGGAAAGGGCUGCGUGCUGGCUUGCAGAUCUAGAGAGAAUUGAUAUGAAUCUGGGAGACACAAGACUGCGGAAAGCUACAGGGCUGCCAUAGAGCCUAGUGGGCACCAGCCGCGAACUCCUUCCUACCAGUUACACACUGGAGCUAGAACAGCGGCACUCCGGGAAUAGAAGGCUCUUCUGGCGUCAUAAAUAAUUCGGGUAAAGCAGAAGGGAACUGUGCCUAGCCUUGGGAGCUCAGUCCCCCUAAGCGUCGUUACAUUUCACCUUCGCGAGGGAUUGGUGAAGUGGUAGGUCCUCGCAUGGGCAGGGAAAUUCGUAGGGGUGUUUGCGGAGCCUCUUAAACCCAGAGGAAGCUGAAUGAGGGACCAUACAAGCCCAGGCCUAGCUGCUCAGAGGCUGCGACAGAUUCCUGGAGAACAGCGACCUCUGGAGGAGCGUCGCAUCCACGCAGAGUCAGGAACUGCACUCUAGGUUGAGACCAAAUCGCCAUGUUCUCACCCCACCCCCAUACACUACUUUGGCAUUCAUCCAGAAACUUGGAACCGCUGGACUCGACGUUUUACUCACCUUGGCUGCCUUUCCCAACCUAUCGGCUUACUUCAGAUCCCUCCGAAACCUCCUGAGAGAAGCCUUCCCAGAGUCAAACCCAUCCUCCCUUCUUCCUGCUCUGAGCUCUUCAAAACCUAACUAAGGCCUGGACCCUCAACUCCAGCCCUGCUCACCACAGCGGGAAUCCACCUGCUUCCUGCCCCACCCAUUUUCAAAGAGACCGUUAAUCCACUCCACACCCACCCCUUGAGUGACAUGCUAAGUGUCCCCCCCCUUCCCCCGCCCUCGGUAAAGGAAGACUGAAGUCUAAAACUAGACGAUAUGUGGUUUCCAAAACAAUUUACCUCUACUGGAACAAGGAAAUAAACAAAGGAAAAGGAGGAUAUGGAAUCCAGGAAACAGAAGAUGCAACACAGGACAGAGAUGAAGGGAUAGUGAAAAGAAAUUCCGGAGCAACAUCUGUACAGCAGACAUGGAGAACCAUCAGUCCAGACUGGAGCCAGAGGACAGAGAAAUCUGGGAGAAAUGCCCCCAGGAGGGCAGACAUGCAGCAAAAACAGUGAUGAAUUUCUUCAUACACUUGGUCUUGUGAAAAAAUGUACUAUUGGAAAGAAGGGGGAGAUUUAGCAGUAGACAGAAGCUGAGCAAGUGAAAACAAAAAGGCAUAAUUAGGUACAGGAAAAAUUAAAAUAUUGGACACACAAAAGUAAACAUUGUAUACUCUUAGUUUAUCAGAUAACAAAGUAAUGAAGUAAAUGUUAUUAUAAAAACAAAUUUAACCCAAAGUUAGUGAUUUUGGUGCCAACAUGGGGGAGGAGAUUUUAGAGUUAGAUAAUCAGGUGUCAUAAUAUCAAGUUAAUCAUUAGAACCCAAGGUAGAUUUUCGAUGACAGAGCACUUGAUUGACAUGCUCUGGGUUUGAUUCCCAGCACCGCAAAAAAGAAAAAAGGAGGAAGAAGCCAUUCAUUACUCUUUCAAGAGAGAAGACUAUAAACAUGGAAAUAUAUUCCCAAACAAACAAAUCAGAACUGUAUUUGGAGAACUGCUCUGGAGUUGUUGCUUGUAGGCCUAGAUACAGAGUUUUUAAGAGCAGUGCAAGAUACCAAUUGUGAGCUUCUGAUUGCUAUUUGACUUGACAUGAUGUGCUUAUUUAAGUUGAACAAAAGCUUAAAUUAGAGGAGUAGAGAUGUAGUUCAGUGGUACAGUGCUUGACCAGGGUGUUUAAGGCCCUGGGUUCAAUCCCCAGUACCAAUAAAAUAAACAUUAAAAUGUACCUUCAGAUUAAAAA